This 645-nucleotide ribosomal RNA is filed under the name uncultured bacterium. Its description in RNAcentral is "bacterial SSU rRNA". It matches the Rfam family "Bacterial small subunit ribosomal RNA", at positions 61 to 699 of the family's 1533-position model. The record is from RNAcentral.
GUCGAACGGCAGCACGGGUGCUUGCACCUGGUGGCGAGUGGCGAACGGGUGAGUAAUGCGUCGGAACGUACCGAGUAGUGGGGGAUAACGCAGCGAAAGUUGUGCUAAUACCGCAUAUUCUGUGAGCAGGAAAGCGGGGGAUCUUCGGACCUCGCGCUAUUCGAGCGGCCGACGUCUGAUUAGCUAGUUGGUGGGGUAAUGGCUCACCAAGGCGACGAUCAGUAGCGGGUCUGAGAGGAUGAUCCGCCACACUGGGACUGAGACACGGCCCAGACUCCUACGGGAGGCAGCAGUGGGGAAUUUUGGACAAUGGGCGAAAGCCUGAUCCAGCCAUGCCGCGUGUCUGAAGAAGGCCUUCGGGUUGUAAAGGACUUUUGUCAGGGAGGAAAUCCCCAGGGCUAAUACCCUUGGGGGAUGACAGUACCUGAAGAAUAAGCACCGGCUAACUACGUGCCAGCAGCCGCGGUAAUACGUAGGGUGCAAGCGUUAAUCGGAAUUACUGGGCGUAAAGCGUGCGCAGGCGGUUGGUUAAGCAAGAUGUGAAAGCCCCGGGCUCAACCUGGGAACUGCGUUUUGAACUGGCCAGCUAGAGUACGUCAGAGGGGGGUGGAAUUCCGCGUGUAGCAGUGAAAUGCGUAGAGAUGC